UACGGAGGGUGCGAGCGUUAAUCGGAAUAACUGGGCGUAAAGGGCGCGCAGGCGGGCAUUUAAGUGAGGUGUGAAAUCCCCGGGCUUAACCUGGGAAUAGCAUUUCAGACUGGGAGUCUAGAGUACUUUAGGGGGGGGUAGAAUUCCACGUGUAGCGGUGAAAUGCGUAGAGAUGUGGAGGAAUACCGAAGGCGAAGGCAGCCCCCUGGGCAAGUACUGACGCUCAGGUGCGAAAGCGUGGGGAGCAAACAGG
Molecule: ribosomal RNA, 253 nt
Filed under: uncultured bacterium
Lineage: Bacteria
Description: partial 16S ribosomal RNA
Rfam family: Bacterial small subunit ribosomal RNA
Source: RNAcentral